RNAcentral lists this ribosomal RNA (433 nucleotides) under uncultured bacterium. Its description in RNAcentral is "partial 16S ribosomal RNA". It matches the Rfam family "Bacterial small subunit ribosomal RNA", at positions 29 to 507 of the family's 1533-position model. The record is from RNAcentral.
AACGAACGCUGGCGGCAUGCCUAACACAUGCAAGUCGAACGAGACCUUCGGGUCUAGCGGCGCACGGGUGCGUAACGCGUGGGAACCUGCCCUUAGGUUCGGAAUAACUCCCCGCAAGGGGUGCUAAUACCGGAUAAUGUCUUCGGACCAAAGAUUUAUCGCCUUUGGAUGGGCCCGCGUUGGAUUAGCUAGUUGGUAGGGUAAACGCCUACCAAGGCGACGAUCCAUAGCUGGUCUGAGAGGAUGAUCAGCCACACUGGGACUGAGACACGGCCCAGACUCCUACGGGAGGCAGCAGUGGGGAAUAUUGGACAAUGGGCGAAAGCCUGAUCCAGCAAUGCCGCGUGGGUGAUGAAGGCCUUAGGGUUGUAAAGCUCUUUUACCCGGGAUGAUAAUGACAGUACCGGGAGAAUAAGCUCCGGCUAACUCCGUG